This 370-nucleotide long non-coding RNA is filed under the name Olea europaea (common olive). RNAcentral's name for it is "long non-coding RNA (OEUR_LNC013691)". Lineage: Eukaryota; Viridiplantae; Streptophyta; Magnoliopsida; Lamiales; Oleaceae. The record is from RNAcentral.
AGAGAUAAACCAUAAGUUUAAGAGCAGUAGACUUAUAUCCUUAUACAUAAAUGCUACAAGGCAAAGAAUUUUUAACAUCCAAAGAGAAAAUAAAGAAAAGGGAAAUUUAUAUGAUAACAGAUAGAUGCUAACCAUUUACUCUUCGUCUCCCUCACCAAAUCGCAGGACAAGAUUACAGAGAGCUUGUGUAGUUGGUUAGGGUUGAAAUUUGACAAAGGGGUCAGCUUGUUUAGUUGUUUUGUGGUUAGUUCUCUUGUAAUUUGUGUGAGAGAGUAAAGGGAACAGAAGAAGAGAAAAAGUCGCCUGCUGUCGCCGGUCCGAUUGAAGUGUCGGAGGCGGAUCAAUCGAUCGUAGGAGUAGGAAGGAGAAG